Long non-coding RNA from Zea mays, 1675 nucleotides. RefSeq lists it as uncharacterized. The record is from RefSeq and is a predicted model, not a curated record. Lineage: Eukaryota; Viridiplantae; Streptophyta; Magnoliopsida; Poales; Poaceae. The transcript has 3 exons.
UGUUUUCGUUGGCUAGAGAUUAGUGAAUGUCAAGAUUAAGUGUUGCCCGCUUGUGAGACGGAAGCCGGGCGACUGAUUCACCGCCAUGUCUGAGUCCUAUGCAUUGCCUGUUGGGCGGAGGCCGGGUAUGGUAUGGUCAGAUACAACAAGUGAGUCGUCGGAGAGAAAAUGGAAGUCGAUGUCCCCCAGUCAAGUCCAUGACCUGAACCAUGUCGGGGAGACGGAUGAAGCGCCGUCGUGCACGCUGUAGCUUCUUCAUGGCGGCUUGGUGCUGCUUUAUCCGGCUAUCCCCGCGAUUCGUGGACACCGUCGCCACCUGCACGGCCAGAGGUUUCUCCUCCCAAAUGCUCUCCACCCUCUUCUUCGUCCCCUCCCAGUCCCCUCUUCCUAGCUACAGCUCCUUCAGUCCAAUCGAUUAGUUCAAUGAGUUGAGAUGGCUGGAGAGGUGACUGUAUCCGGUUCACUCCCCUGUUCCAUGGACGUGCUAUGGUCUGUGAGGUUGUGCGAGUUAGCUAGCCAUUUUGAGUGGAGUUGAGUGCUGGAAGAAGGGAUUGGAGAAUACAGUAAAAAAUGUGUGUUUCGUCGUACUGAUUCUUUUCUAAUUCUUCAAUUCUCCUUUGUGAUUGAGUAGAUUCCUUUUAAGAGUUAAAACUUUACAAUGCUAACAUGAUAUUGGGAAAGCAAAAUAUUUUUUAAGCAUCUACGCCUAAUGUGGUUUACUUCUUCUUUACGCCUUGCGGAUGGUUAAGAUGUUGGACAUUCUGUUCUUGCAGAAUACCUCUCCCUUUGAGGAUUUCAUUUUGAGAGGCUUGAUGGUAGUACAAGAGAUGGAACAUUUUAAUGCUCCUGAAAGUGACGACUUCUGUUUCCUUUUAUCCACACGUGCUAGAGGACUUGGUAUUAAUCUUGCAACUGUAGAUACAGUGAUAAUUUUUUAGUCCAAUUGGAAUCCGCAAAAUGAUCUGCAGGAUUGUCCAACAGGAAACUGUUAAUAUCUACCGCUUCGUCACAUGCAAAAGUGUUGAAGAGGAUAAUUUGGAACACACAAAGACAAAGAUGGUUCUUGAUCACUUGGAAUGAGGAAAGACUGAACUGAGCGUUAUGUUCGGCAGCAGAUAGCACUAGCAAGGCACGCCAGCCCUCUCCUCCCCUCCCAAUGUACUCCCUCAUUGCCAUUCGAAACAAAAGUUUUUUUCAUUCAAAUCUCAUCUCGAAUAUAUAAUCUAUUUCUAAAUAAACAGCUUAACAAACAAAAUAUGUUCUAAUUGUUAUUCCCUGCGUUUUAGUUCAAAAGUGAACUAGCAAUCUACAGAGACAACAGUUUUUUUUUAAAAAAAAGGCAACGUCGAAGUAGACAGCUAGCAUGUGAAGCAGACCAGGCUGCUAGAAUCGUGAUAGUCUUGUUCUUUAUAUACACAAGGGGCAAAAAGGGAACUUGCGAGUGAGUAGCCGAGUAGUACGUCGGCAGGAACCGUGCUGCUCAUGGCCUCGCUCUAAUCCAAAUCCGAAUCAUUAGCACGUCUGGAAUCAUACGAGUUUGAAAAGAAAGACCACGCAUGAAUGAUGAAGGGCGAAUUACGCGUAGGCCUGGUUCGGUGCAUCAAUAAGUGUUGAGGUAAAUUGAGAUAUAAAUUAAAUUAAUUUAUAUUAUAAUUCAUCUUAGGCUAUUUGGAUA